CUACGGGGGGCAGCAGUGGGGAAUAUUGCACAAUGGGCGCAAGCCUGAUGCAGCCAUGCCGCGUGUAUGAAGAAGGCCUUCGGGUUGUAAAGUACUUUCAGCGGGGAGGAAGGGAGUAAAGUUAAUACCUUUGCUCAUUGACGUUACCCGCAGAAGAAGCACCGGCUAACUCCGUGCCAGCAGCCGCGGUAAUACGGAGGGUGCAAGCGUUAAUCGGAAUUACUGGGCGUAAAGUGCACGCAGGCGGUUUGUUAAGUCAGAUGUGAAAUCCCCGGGCUCAACCUGGGAACUGCAUCUGAUACUGGCAAGCUUGAGUCUCGUAGAGGGGGGUAGAAUUCCAGGUGUAGCGGUGAAAUGCGUAGAGAUCUGGAGGAAUACCGGUGGCGAAGGCGGCCCCCCGGACGAAGACUGACGCUCAGGUGCGAAAGCGUGGGGAGCAAACAGGAUUAGAUACCCGAGUAGUC
This 464-nucleotide ribosomal RNA is filed under the name uncultured bacterium. RNAcentral's name for it is "partial 16S ribosomal RNA". It matches the Rfam family "Bacterial small subunit ribosomal RNA", at positions 339 to 795 of the family's 1533-position model. The record is from RNAcentral.